This 556-nucleotide ribosomal RNA is filed under the name uncultured bacterium. RNAcentral's name for it is "bacterial SSU rRNA". It matches the Rfam family "Bacterial small subunit ribosomal RNA", at positions 27 to 572 of the family's 1533-position model. The record is from RNAcentral.
GAUUGAACGCUGGCGGCAGGCCUAACACAUGCAAGUCGAGCGGUAGCACAAGAGAGCUUGCUCUCUGGGUGACGAGCGGCGGACGGGUGAGUAAUGUCUGGGAAACUGCCUGAUGGAGGGGGAUAACUACUGGAAACGGUGGCUAAUACCGCAUAACGUCUACGGACCAAAGUGGGGGACCUUCGGGCCUCACGCCAUCAGAUGUGCCCAGAUGGGAUUAGCUAGUAGGUGGGGUAAUGGCUCACCUAGGCGACGAUCCCUAGCUGGUCUGAGAGGAUGACCAGCCACACUGGAACUGAGACACGGUCCAGACUCCUACGGGAGGCAGCAGUGGGGAAUAUUGCACAAUGGGCGCAAGCCUGAUGCAGCCAUGCCGCGUGUGUGAAGAAGGCCUUAGGGUUGUAAAGCACUUUCAGCGAGGAGGAAGGGUUCAGUGUUAAUAGCACUGUUCAUUGACGUUACUCGCAGAAGAAGCACCGGCUAACUCCGUGCCAGCAGCCGCGGUAAUACGGAGGGUGCAAGCGUUAAUCGGAAUUACUGGGCGUAAAGCGCACGC